This 486-nucleotide ribosomal RNA is filed under the name uncultured bacterium. Its description in RNAcentral is "bacterial SSU rRNA". It matches the Rfam family "Bacterial small subunit ribosomal RNA", at positions 29 to 524 of the family's 1533-position model. The record is from RNAcentral.
AGUGAACGCUGGCGGCGUGCUUAACACAUGCAAGUCGAACGAGAACGGAUUAUAGCUUGCUAUAAUUGUCAGCUAAGUGGCGCACGGGUGAGUAAUGUAUAGGUAAUAUGCCUCUUACUAAGGGAUAACAAAUGGAAACGUUUGCUAAUACCUUAUACUCCUUAUUAACAGAAGUUAAUAAGGGAAAGAUUUAUUGGUAAGAGAUUAGCCUGUAUUGUAUCAGUUAGUUGGUGGGGUAAUGGCUUACCAAGACUAUGACACAUAACUGGUUUGAGAGGAUGAUCAGUCACACUGGAACUGAGACACGGUCCAGACUCCUACGGGAGGCAGCAGUGGGGAAUAUUGCACAAUGGACGAAAGUCUGAUGCAGCAACGCCGCGUGGAGGAUGACACAUUUCGGUGCGUAAACUCCUUUUAUAUGAGAAGAUAAUGACGGUAUUAUAUGAAUAAGACACCGGCUAACUCCGUGCCAGCAGCCGCGGUAAA